This 457-nucleotide ribosomal RNA is filed under the name uncultured Sphingobacteriales bacterium. RNAcentral describes it as "bacterial SSU rRNA". It matches the Rfam family "Bacterial small subunit ribosomal RNA", at positions 922 to 1382 of the family's 1533-position model. The record is from RNAcentral. Lineage: Bacteria; Pseudomonadati; Bacteroidota; Sphingobacteriia; Sphingobacteriales.
CGACAAGCGGUGGAGCAUGUGGUUUAAUUCGAUGAUACGCGAGGAACCUUACCUGGGCUCAAAUGUAUGUUGACGUAUUCUGAAAGGGAUACUUCUUCGGACAAUAUACAAGGUGCUGCAUGGUUGUCGUCAGCUCGUGCCGUGAGGUGUCGGGUUAAGUCCCAUAACGAGCGCAACCCCUACCUUUAGUUGCCAUCAGGUAAUGCUGGGGACUCUAAAGGAACUGCCUACGCAAGUAGUGAGGAAGGCGGGGAUGACGUCAAAUCAGCACGGCCCUUACGUCCAGGGCUACACACGUGCUACAAUGGCCGAUACAGAGGGCAGCUACCUGGUGACAGGAUGCAAAUCUCCAAAGUCGGUCUCAGUUCGGAUCGGAGUCUGCAACCCGACUCCGUGAAGUUGGAUUCGCUAGUAAUCGCGCAUCAGCCAUGGCGCGGUGAAUACGUUCCCGGGCCUU